Ailuropoda melanoleuca (giant panda) is the source of this 2418-nucleotide long non-coding RNA. RefSeq lists it as uncharacterized. The record is from RefSeq and is a predicted model, not a curated record. Lineage: Eukaryota; Metazoa; Chordata; Mammalia; Carnivora; Ursidae. The transcript is spliced from 5 exons.
ACCAGCUCGCUCCGCGCCACGUAGCGCGCGACCCGCGACGGUCCCCGCUUGAAGAGGUAGGCAGGUUACAGCAAAGGGAAGCUCCUCCUCUCUUUACCCGAGUUGCCUCUUUCUGGAAAUUGACAGAAAAUGGGACUCUGGCUGCUUUGAACAAGCUCGCUCAUGAGGCUGCAGUUAAGAUGUUGGCCAGGGCAGCGGUCUCCAUGGGGCUGGAGGGGGGGUCCACGUCUGAGGAGGCUUAGUCACAUGACUGAACAGCCCUGAUCCAGGGGGAGACAAGGCUACACAGGGCUGUGAAUACAGAAGAUCCACGCUGUACUCUUGGUGACCCUCCUCUCUGCCCUGGCACUUUGAACUUUGUGAACUCUAUCAGCAGACUCUCUGACUUCCAGCUGGGCUUAGCCGAUAGAAGUUUCCAGCAGGAGAUUGAAAGGUCACCCUGCUUGGAGGCCCGUGUUUCCUGAGGUUGAUCCAACACGGCACAGUUAAUCUCUGCAGUUCCAGACCUACGUCCAUGCUAACCUCUUCAAGGUUCUGUACCCCCUCAAAGCCUCAUGGAAAACGAACCACCGGCUCUAUCCAUCUUGUCUACACUGGCAGAAAUAAAUUACAUGACAUCUAGGGUUCCAUAAGAGCCCAGUUCUACUGGCUCCAAGGCCAAAGAUUUAUCCUUGACUGUACAUUUGUUUCAAAGAAACUACACUUAUAAAAACAACAUUCAAGAGAUGUAACUGAGAUGCCUAAAAUGCCAGAUUCAUGAUUUAGUUGCUUGGCCCAGUCAGUGCACUGCAAGUGCAGAAAACAAAACAAACAAACACAAAUCUAAAUGAAAGAACACAUUUCUAAAUCAAAUUGCCCACCUGUUUCAAAGUCCUCUUAUACAGGGAGUCAGACAGAAACCAGAAAUACAUCUAGGUGUCACCCGAACUAAACUGAAAUAUUUGCUGUUUUCUCCUUCUGGAAUAUCGCCUGAAAGAGACACCCAUCCUGUUUGAUGUAUGGAUUCAGAGCUGAGAAACCACCAUGGUGUUUAGGGUCCCCCGUGCGUUGGUUCUAUCUACUUGAAGCUUUGGACUUGAACGAUGCCAAGGGAAUCAUUACCAUGGAUGCUACCUUUGGGUGGGGGUUCAGGAAAACACAGAGAGAUGGAAAAAGGCUAAAAUGAUGGGAUAACUGGUCCACUCCAUGGACAUCAUUGAGUUUUAGGGACCAGGCACUGCUUUAGGGUCUGUGUACUGGCUGUGGUUUGAACCUCAUUCCUCUUCAAUGACCCUCUUUCCAUCGUCUUCCAAAGACACUGGACAUUAUUCCCUUCCUGGACUGGUUAAAAGAAAAAACAACAAAGAGACCAGGAGUCAUGGCUGGAACUAGUGCCUAUUUUUCUAGAGCCUCUCCUUGAGCUCCCAGCUACUUCAGAGGCAUUUCCUUCACCCCUGGGGUCUAAAUUCUUAAGCAGCCUAUUCACCUUAGAGGAGGAGCCCUUCUCUUACGGAGACUGGUGAUUUGGACAUCCUAAACUGGUUGAGUCCUGAGUCCUGCCCCUGGGUGUGGUUAGGCCUCAGGAAACCAGGACAACGAGAAGAGAGCUCAUUGGAUUAUAGAGCUUUGUAUGGUAGUCCCCGUAUCUUCAUCUUUGGUGUUGCUUUCUGCAAUUUCAGUUACAUGCUGUCAACCUUGGUCCGGAGGCAAUGAUGUAUCAUCAGGAGAUCAGUAGCAGCCCCACGCUGGGUCACAGCACCCGCACCUCUCACCUCUCACAGCACUUCCCUUUGCAUGUAGGCAUUUUAUCAUCUCGCAUCAUCGUGAGAAGAAGGGCGAGUGCAAUACAAUAGGAGAUUUUGAGAGAGAAGCUAUAUUCACAUAACUUCUAUUACAGUGUAUUAUAAUUUUUCUGUUUUAUAAGUAUUAUUAAUUUCUCACUGUGCCUAAUUUAUAAAUUAAACUCUAUCAUAAGUAUAUAUGUAUAGUAUAGGUAGGGUUCGGUUCCACUAAAGGUUCUGGAAGGUAUGCCCUGAAGAUAAGGGGGGGACCACCAUAUAGUAUUUAUUCUAUUGCUGCUGAUCCUGGGGGCAGCCACCAUGGUGGGGAAGGUGUUCUCAUCUGAUCUAAAGCUCUUCCAUUCAUCGGAAGAGACUAGAGGUCACAGGUUUUCCAUAUUCUCAAGACUUCAAUUUUUGCCCUUGGCCUACCAAUAUUGGAGGAAUGAAGUCCAAUCCCUGAAUUGUUCAGCUGAAGAAAUAGUGGCUCGGGGGUAUGUUUUGUCUGGGGGUACAUAUCUCAUCAAAUCAAUUUGUUGAGCACUUACUGUGUAUAGAUGGUUAAUUUUAUGAGUCAUCUUAGCUGGAGUGUGCGAUCCAGUUGUUUAGUCAAACAUUAGUCUGUGUUUGCCAGAAAGAUAUUUUUUUAAGACAUGAUUAA